AUGUUGGGUUAAGUCCCGCAACGAGCGCAACCCUUGCCUUUAGUUGCCAGCAGUUCGGCUGGGCGACUCUAAAGGGACUGCCGGUGUCAAACCGGAGGAAGGUGGGGAUGACGUCAAGUCCUCAUGGCCUUUAUGGCCAGGGCUACACACGUACUACAAUGGCCGGUACAAAGGGCAGCGACAUUGCGAGAUGGAGCGAAUCCCGAAAAGCCGGUCUCAGUCCGGAUUGGAGUCUGCAACUCGACUCCAUGAAGUUGGAAUCGCUAGUAAUCGUGGAUCAGCAUGCCACGGUGAAUACGUUCCCGGGCCUU
This 311-nucleotide ribosomal RNA is filed under the name uncultured Desulfobulbus sp. Its description in RNAcentral is "bacterial SSU rRNA". It matches the Rfam family "Bacterial small subunit ribosomal RNA", at positions 1072 to 1382 of the family's 1533-position model. Lineage: Bacteria; Pseudomonadati; Thermodesulfobacteriota; Desulfobulbia; Desulfobulbales; Desulfobulbaceae. The record is from RNAcentral.